UAUGUCUCACUUGAUGUUCCUCAAACUGAAGUGACAAACUUUGCACAGUUUCCUGCUAAGACAUCUUAGAUCAUGUUGUACAUGUUCAACUGCCAUUUUACAUGAUGGGUGAAUAUCAGUUGUAAACAAGUAUGGAGAAAAGACAGCGUGAGGAAACAUUAGAGGGCUCCAGAUCACAGAAGUCAACAUUAACAGGAACACUGACACUGAAGAACUUCACCAUACCCAGGAGGAAACGGACCUCAGUAGAAGUCCUUUUGGAAUGUUGUUCAGAGGAAAGCCGUGACUACAACCUCAUUCAGACAAAACUUAGAGAUGCCAAGCUGGACACUAGAAAGGACCGAGCAAAUGCAUGGGUCUGGAAAGAUGUUCAUUUAGUUAACAAUGAGGAGCUUCUUAAAAUGUUCUCUGAAAAAAGUGACUACAGGGCAGAGAUGCGUACUAAAGGAAGACAUGGGAGAGAAAGGGAAGAAAUAUUUAGUUUUUUAGUAGCAUCGGACCAAAUGGCAGCCCAGAUUUAUCAGCACGGUUUACAGGUUGGCAGCACAGUCCAGUAUGCCUUGGGAAAGCCAUCACAUGGAGUAUAUCUCUUUAGGCAUGUCGAUGUGGCUCUAAGUUCUUAUACCAGCAUAUUAAGUGCAAAAAAAAAAAGGUUCUUGAUGGAAAGGUGAAAAAAAUUGCCCCAAGCCUGGAAUGGAACAAAACACAAGAUCCUACUGUGGGCUUUGACUGUCACAUGUGUAAAGAUGCAGUGUCCCAUCGAGACACUCUUCACCAGCAAUAUCAGAAUAUCAAAUUAUCCAAUCAAAAAGACUGGAUAAUCAACACGAGUCUUAAUAAACCAUUGUUCUUC
Long non-coding RNA from Carassius auratus (goldfish), 853 nucleotides. RefSeq lists it as uncharacterized. The transcript is spliced from 5 exons. Lineage: Eukaryota; Metazoa; Chordata; Actinopteri; Cypriniformes; Cyprinidae. The record is from RefSeq and is a predicted model, not a curated record.